GAUGAACGCUGGCGGCGUGCCUAAUACAUGCAAGUCGAGCGAACAGACGAGGAGCUUGCUCCUCUGACGUUAGCGGCGGACGGGUGAGUAACACGUGGAUAACCUACCUAUAAGACUGGGAUAACUUCGGGAAACCGGAGCUAAUACCGGAUAAUAUAUUGAACCGCAUGGUUCAAUAGUGAAAGACGGUUUUGCUGUCACUUAUAGAUGGAUCCGCGCCGCAUUAGCUAGUUGGUAAGGUAACGGCUUACCAAGGCAACGAUGCGUAGCCGACCUGGGAGGGUGUUCGGCCACACUGGAACUGAGCCACGGUCCAGACUCCUACGGGAGGCAGCAGUAGGGAAUCUUCCGCAAUGGGCGAAAGCCUGACGGAGCAACGCCGCGUGAGUGAUGAAGGUCUUCGGAUCGUAAAACUCUGUUAUUAGGGAAGAACAAAUGUGUAAGUAACUAUGCACGUCUUGACGGUACCUAAUCAGAAAGCCACGGCUAACUACGUG
RNAcentral lists this ribosomal RNA (497 nucleotides) under uncultured bacterium. RNAcentral's name for it is "partial 16S ribosomal RNA". It matches the Rfam family "Bacterial small subunit ribosomal RNA", at positions 28 to 507 of the family's 1533-position model. The record is from RNAcentral.